AAGUCGAGCGGUAACAUUUCUAGCUUGCUAGAAGAUGACGAGCGGCGGACGGGUGAGUAAUGCUUGGGAACAUGCCUUGAGGUGGGGGACAACAGUUGGAAACGACUGCUAAUACCGCAUAAUGUCUACGGACCAAAGGGGGCUUUUAGCUCCCGCCUUUAGAUUGGCCCAAGUGGGAUUAGUUAGUUGGUGAGGUAAUGGCUCACCAAGGCAACGAUCCCUAGCUGGUUUGAGAGGAUGAUCAGCCACACUGGGACUGAGACACGGCCCAGACUCCUACGGGAGGCAGCAGUGGGGAAUAUUGCACAAUGGGCGAAAGCCUGAUGCAGCCAUGCCGCGUGUGUGAAGAAGGCCUUCGGGUUGUAAAGCACUUUCAGUCAGGAGGAAAGGUUAGUAGUUAAUACCUGCUAGCUGUGACGUUACUGACAGAAGAAGCACCGGCUAACUCCGUGCCAGCAGCCGCGGUAAUACGGAGGGUGCGAGCGUUAAUCGGAAUUACUGGGCGUAAAGCGUACGCAGGCGGUUUGUUAAGCGAGAUGUGAAAGCCCCGGGCUCAACCUGGGAACUGCAUUUCGAACUGGCAAACUAGAGUGUGAUAGAGGGUGGUAGAAUUUCAGGUGUAGCGGUGAAAUGCGUANAGAUCUGAAGGAAUACCCGAUGGCGAANGCAGCCACCUGGGUCAACACUGACGCUCAUGUACNAAAGCGUGGGGAGCAAACNGGAUUAGAUACCCCCGNUAGUCCACNCCGUAAACGAUGUCUACUANAAGCUCGGUUCCUCGGAACUGUUUUUCAAGCUAACGCAUUAAGUAAACCCCNUGGGGAGUAC
RNAcentral lists this ribosomal RNA (828 nucleotides) under marine bacterium SIMO-2519. RNAcentral's name for it is "bacterial SSU rRNA". It matches the Rfam family "Bacterial small subunit ribosomal RNA", at positions 59 to 883 of the family's 1533-position model. The record is from RNAcentral.